CCUACGGGGGGCAGCAGUGAGGAAUAUUGGUCAAUGGCCGGAAGCCUGAACCAGCCAAGUCGCGUGUAGGAAGACGGCCCUACGGGUUGUAAACCUCUUUUGUCCGGGAGCAACGCGCCCCACGUGUAGUUCAUUGCGAGUACCCGAAGAAAAAGCAUCGGCUAACUCCGUGCCAGCAGCCGCGGUAAUACGGAGGCUGCGAGCGUUAUCCGGAUUUAUUGGGUUUAAAGGGUGCGCAGGCGGAGGUGCAAGUCAGCGGUCAAAUUGCGGGGCUCAACCCCGCACUGCCGUGGAAACUGCAGCCCUUGAGUGCGCGAGAAGCAGGCGGAAUGCGUGGUGUAGCGGUGAAAUGCAUAGAUAUCACGCAGAACCCCGAUUGCGAAGGCAGCAUACCGGCGCGCAACUGACGCUCAUGCACGAAAGCGUGGGUAUCGAACAGGAUUAGAUACCCGGGUAGUC
This 459-nucleotide ribosomal RNA is filed under the name uncultured bacterium. Its description in RNAcentral is "partial 16S ribosomal RNA". It matches the Rfam family "Bacterial small subunit ribosomal RNA", at positions 338 to 795 of the family's 1533-position model. The record is from RNAcentral.